RNAcentral lists this long non-coding RNA (711 nucleotides) under Vulpes vulpes (red fox). RNAcentral describes it as "lncRNA (ENSVVUG00000019732.1)". Lineage: Eukaryota; Metazoa; Chordata; Mammalia; Carnivora; Canidae. The record is from RNAcentral.
AUCAGAGGCUGAUGGAAGAAACUGGAAGAAGAAAGAGGGAGCAUUCAAGACCAUUGGCAGCAGAAAAUGAAAAAAAGGAGGAAAUCUGAAGGAUGUCAGGAACCGAUCACCAGCAACCAAAGGAGAAUGGUGAGAAGGAGGAACCAGGGCUGGCGCUGACCACACCGAGUGGAUGGGAAGUGGGACAGGCUUGUGCCCUGUGGUGCCGAUGAUAAGUCAGCUUCCUACAUGAUACCACUGUGUUUCAGUGAGAGACGAAUUACACAAACAAAAUGUUCUUCACAGAUGGAUGAGAUGCCUGAGGAUGAUAUCUGGGUAGGACACCUGACUUCAAGGGCUAGUAAGAAGUUCAAAGAAGAAGGGGGCCAAAUGCAUCCAAGAAGGUGGCUGCCCUGGAUCAACAUGCACAGCUCUGUAAAAAUGCACACAAAAAUGGCACCCUGCUCCUCAUGGAGGGCGGACCCCAGAAGUGCCCAAUAUAUGAAUAGUAUAAAUCCCAACUCCAGGCAAAAUGGACCCCUUGACCUGUUUUAAUGGUCUAAUAAGCAGAUCUUCCUUGAGAAGGGCCUCUUGACGUGGAGAAAGGGAAAUCGUCUUGCACUGUUGGUGGGAAUGUGAACUGGUACAGCCACUCUGGAAAACUGCGUGGAGUUUAAAACUUUGAGUUAUUUUUAAUUCAAAGAGUUAAAAAUAAAGCUAACCUACAACCCA